RNAcentral lists this ribosomal RNA (416 nucleotides) under uncultured bacterium. RNAcentral's name for it is "bacterial SSU rRNA". It matches the Rfam family "Bacterial small subunit ribosomal RNA", at positions 9 to 417 of the family's 1533-position model. The record is from RNAcentral.
GAGUUUGAUCAUGGCUCAGGACGAACGCUGGCGGUGUGCUUAACACAUGCAAGUGGAGCGACGAACCAGAGCUUGCUCUGGGGCAGAGCCGCGAACGGGUGAGUAACACGUGGGUAACCUACCCCGAUGACUGGGACAACCCGAGGAAACUCGGGCUAAUACCGGAUAUGUCCGACAUUCACGAGGAUGUCGAGCAAAGGAAGCUUCGGCCUCCGCAUUGGGACGGGCCCGCGGCCCAUUAGCUAGUUGGUGGGGUAAUGGCCUACCAAAGGCUGCGAUGGGUAGCUGGUCUGAGAGGACGAUCAGCCACACUGGGACUGAGACACGGCCCAGACUCCUACGGGAGGCAGCAGUGGGGAAUCUUGCGCAAUGCGCGAAAGCGUGACGCAGCAACACCGCGUGAGGGAAGACGGCCU